This 490-nucleotide ribosomal RNA is filed under the name uncultured bacterium. Its description in RNAcentral is "partial 16S ribosomal RNA". It matches the Rfam family "Bacterial small subunit ribosomal RNA", at positions 30 to 507 of the family's 1533-position model. The record is from RNAcentral.
AUUGAACACUGGCGGCAGGCUUAACACAUGCCAGUCGAGCGGUAGCACAGGGGAGCUUGCUCCCUGGGUGACGAGCGGCGGACGGGUGAGUAAUGUCUGGGAAACUGCCUGAUGGAGGGGGAUAACUACUGGAAACGGUAGCUAAUAUCGCAUAACGUCGCAAGACCAAAGAGGGGGACCUUCGGGCCUCUUUCCAUCAGAUGUGCCCAGAUGGGAUUAGCUAGUAGGUGGGGUAAUGGCUCACCUAGGCGACGAUCCCUAGCUGGUCUGAGAGGAUGACCAGCCACACUGGAACUGAGACACGGUCCAGACUCCUACGGGAGGCAGCAGUGGGGAAUAUUGCACAAUGGGCGCAAGCCUGAUGCAGCCAUGCCGCGUGUGUGAAGAAGGCCUUCGGGUUGUAAAGCACUUUCAGCGAGGAGGAAGGUGGUGAGCUUAAUACGUUCAUCAAUUGACGUUACUCGCAGAAGAAGCACCGGCUAACUCCGUG